This 538-nucleotide ribosomal RNA is filed under the name Pichia manshurica. Its description in RNAcentral is "eukaryotic LSU rRNA". It matches the Rfam family "Eukaryotic large subunit ribosomal RNA", at positions 103 to 667 of the family's 3401-position model. The record is from RNAcentral. Lineage: Eukaryota; Fungi; Ascomycota; Pichiomycetes; Pichiales; Pichiaceae.
AAGAGCUCAGAUUUGAAAUCGUGUUUCGGCACGAGUUGUAGAGUGUAGGCGGGAGUCUCUGUGGAGCGCGGUGUCCAAGUCCCUUGGAACAGGGUGCCUGAGAGGGUGAGAGCCCCGUAGGGUGCUGCGCGAAGCUUUUGAGGCCCUGCUGACGAGUCGAGUUGUUUGGGAAUGCAGCUCCAAGCGGGUGGUAAAUUCCAUCUAAGGCUAAAUAUUGGCGAGAGACCGAUAGCGAACAAGUACUGUGAAGGAAAGAUGAAAAGCACUUUGAAAAGAGAGUGAAACAGCACGUGAAAUUGUUGAAAGGGAAGGGUAUUGGGCUCGACAUGGGGGGUGCGCACCGCUGUCUCUUGUAGGCGGCGCUCUGGGCGCCCUCUGGGCCAGCAUCGGUUCCUGCUGCGGGAGAAGGGGCUCCGGAAAGUGGCUCUUCGGAGUGUUAUAGCCGGGGCCAGAUGCCGCGUGUGGGGACCGAGGACUGCGGCUUCUGUCUCGGAUGCUGGCAUAANGGCGCAAUACCGCCCGUCUUGAAACACGGACC